UGGGGAAUUUUGGACAAUGGGGGCAACCCUGAUCCAGCCAUGCCGCGUGCGGGAAGAAGGCCUUCGGGUUGUAAACCGCUUUUAGUCGGAAAGAAAAGGCGCUCCCUAAUACGGGGCGUUCUUGACGGUACCGGCGGAAUAAGCACCGGCUAACUACGUGCCAGCAGCCGCGGUAAUACGUAGGGUGCGAGCGUUAAUCGGAAUUACUGGGCGUAAAGCGUGCGCAGGCGGUUCGCUGUGUCCGAUGUGAAAGCCCCGGGCUCAACCUGGGAAUGGCAUGGGAAACUGGCGGACUUGAGUGUGGCAGAGGGGGGUGGAAUUCCGCGUGUAGCAGUGAAAUGCGUAGAGAUGCGGAGGAACACCGAUGGCGAAGGCAGCCCCCUGGGCCGACACUGACGCUCAGGCACGAAAGCGUGGGGAGCAAACAGG
This 429-nucleotide ribosomal RNA is filed under the name uncultured beta proteobacterium. RNAcentral describes it as "bacterial SSU rRNA". It matches the Rfam family "Bacterial small subunit ribosomal RNA", at positions 355 to 776 of the family's 1533-position model. Lineage: Bacteria; Pseudomonadati; Pseudomonadota; Betaproteobacteria. The record is from RNAcentral.